AGUGAACGCUGGCGGUAGGCCUAACACAUGCAAGUCGAACGGCAGCACAGUAAGAGCUUGCUCUUACGGGUGGCGAGUGGCGGACGGGUGAGGAAUACAUCGGAAUCUACUUUUUCGUGGGGGAUAACGUGGGAAAACUUACGCUAAUACCGCAUACGACCUACGGGUGAAAGCAGGGGUUCUUCGGACCUUGCCCGAUUGAUUGAGCCGAUGUCGGAUUAGCUAGUUGGCGGGGUAAAGGCCCACCAAGGCGACGAUCCGUAGCUGGUCUGAGAGGAUGAUCAGCCACACUGGAACUGAGACACGGUCCAGACUCCUACGGGAGGCAGCAGUGGGGAAUAUUGGACAAUGGGCGCAAGCCUGAUCCAGCCAUACCGCGUGGGUGAAGAAGGCCUUCGGGUUGUAAAGCCCUUUUGUUGGGAAAGAAAAGCAGCAGGUUAAUACCCCGCUGUUCUGACGGUACCCAAAGAAUAAGCACCGGCUAACUUCGUG
Molecule: ribosomal RNA, 492 nt
Filed under: uncultured bacterium
Lineage: Bacteria
Description: partial 16S ribosomal RNA
Rfam family: Bacterial small subunit ribosomal RNA
Source: RNAcentral